CCCCCUCAAUUUCCGAUAGCUAUCUAAGUGUACCAAAAUUUUUCUUCAGCCCUCAAAUAUAUUUUUAUUAGCUUUGUAGCUAUUUUAUUACUUUAAAUUAUAUACACAGGUGUGUAUGGUGAGUCAGCGCAGUCCACAAACGCCGCGGCUGCAUCCUAUCCACACACGUGGAAGCUAUUGCGGAAACCACGCUGGCCAUCUCUACUGGAUGGACGAAGAGCAUGCAGUACAGGUU
RNAcentral lists this long non-coding RNA (235 nucleotides) under Spirodela polyrhiza (greater duckweed). Its description in RNAcentral is "long non-coding RNA (SPOL_LNC000938)". The record is from RNAcentral. Lineage: Eukaryota; Viridiplantae; Streptophyta; Magnoliopsida; Alismatales; Araceae.